RNAcentral lists this long non-coding RNA (2025 nucleotides) under Mustela putorius furo (domestic ferret). Its description in RNAcentral is "lncRNA (ENSMPUG00000029595.1)". The record is from RNAcentral. Lineage: Eukaryota; Metazoa; Chordata; Mammalia; Carnivora; Mustelidae.
GGGUACAGGUCUAUGAAUCAUCAGUCUUGCAAGAUUCACAGCACUUACCAUAGCACAUACCCUCCCCAGUGUCCUCUUUAGGAGAAAGAGAAGAAGGUACAGCCAUCUAAAGUCUGGAAGUGUUGAAUUCAGCCCAAGGUGGCCACAUCUACAUGCUGCUGUAUUUUGUCUCCAUCACUCCUAGAGUAGCCUGGAGUAGCCACUCUCCAUUCAGACCAGGGGAGUGAGUGGUAGGAAACAUGAAGAUGGAAAGGGCACAAAUUGAAUCGUGUGCCUCUGAACCUCACAGCUUCCAUGUGCUUCCUCAAGUAGCUCCUUCAGUUUCAAGAUCUGGAUAAAUGGGAGUGGUCAUUUCUACCUCAAAGAGUUAUAGAAAAUCAUCAUCAUCAGUUACAGUCUCACUAUGUGCCAGUGAUGUCAAGUGCUUUAUUCCAUUUGAUUUACCUCUUAUGAGCUGGUCACCAUUUACGGAAGAAGAAACAGGGGUGACUUGUUCAUGGCCACAGCAAGUAAAACGGAGAAGAAUGGAAAGAGCCUGGGAUUUGCAAAUACAAGAACUCUAGAUGUCAAUGUUCAAUCUCCCAUACAACAGCAAAUCGAUACAGGGCAAGUUACUGAGACAUCCUCUCAAUGAAGAUCUCCUGAUCCAUAAAACAAAGGAAUUAACAGCAAACGAGAAAGAAGAUUGAAAUAUAUUGCCUUGUUCUGUAGAAGCUCAGUAAAUAUUAGUCUUCAAUUUGCCACGUCCUCUAAGCCUGAUCUACUACUACACCGUCAUACUCCACCUGCCUGUGCGUCCUCAAGAGAUAGAAAUGACACCAAAAAUAAGUGCAGUCCCAAAAUAUCUGUGCAUUUUAUCUACCAUGAAGUUAUAAGCAAAAAAAAAAAAAAAAAAAAAAAAAAAAGCCCUGCACAAUCUGGCUCAAGAUGGGAUUCUCCACAGCAAGGACCAGAACCCGCACCAAACCCUAGGCCCUUCUCUUUGACAUUCUAAAUCACAACAGUACCCACAAUGAUAUUAAGCCCAUAGAUUUUCCCCUCAUAGGAACCUCCAGGAAUAAGGUAAUGAAUGAAUGCGCUGAACUUUCAAGGUCCCACAGCACCAUCUCAUCUAGAUCAUACAACAAUCCUGCAGGAAUACUUAUAAAGGCAGGUAACAUUGUCUCAAUUUAACUGUAUCUUCAACCAGUGGGCCAACCUCUUUGUCAAUUUCUGGUUUUUAUAGUUUAAAAACUAGGUAGAGUUGAAUGAGAACUACCACCCGAAAAACAGAUCAAGACAGAAAUUACCAUAAGCAGAAAAGGAAUUUGUUAGACACGAGAAACACAAGAGACAGAAUCUUAGCAAUAUUAGAUAGCUGAGAGCACUCCUGAAGAGAUCAAGCCACUAAAACAACCUCACUCAAAGGCCACAGAGGACAACUGGCUGUUCCUGUCCCUGGAAUCUCUUCCCCAUAAUCUUAACAUCUCCUCUAUUGCUGUGUAAAUGUUUCAAGUCCCAGGCAGGAGAUUGACCACCUAGUGGAGGGAACAUACCCAUCACCUUAGCUGUUACAGAGCAAGGAGUCAGAUCAUCCACUCUUCCUCACCAAAAAAAAAAAAAGGUACCUAGGAUGCAGGGCCACCAAAACAGCAAGAAAUGUCUGAAGAUCUGCUGACCCUCCAUCACAACCCUAUGGAAGCAACUCUACGGUUUUGACAAGGUACUGACUUGCUCAGGCUCAUGCAGCCGAUCAAGGGCCAGCACUACGAAUCCAUCCAAGGCUCCUGGUUCUUGACGUCCAGCAAAACGUGUUUAAAAAGCAGAUCCUAAAUCGCCCUAAAUAUACAUUUUUUAAUGAAUGUGCUAAUUUCUCUUCACUCUUCUGUCAUAGACAGGACUAAGGGGCACCUGGCGGGCUCAGUCAUUCAGCGUCUGCCUUCAGCUCAGGUCAUGAUCCUGGGGUCCUGGGAUCAAGUCCUGCGUGGGGCUCCCUGCUCAAUGGCAAGUCUGCUUCUCCCUCUCCCACUCCCCCUGUUGUAUUCC